This 87-nucleotide transfer RNA is filed under the name Flavobacteriales bacterium. RNAcentral describes it as "tRNA-Leu". It matches the Rfam family "tRNA". From Rfam's summary of the family: Transfer RNA (tRNA) molecules are approximately 80 nucleotides in length. The record is from RNAcentral. Lineage: Bacteria; Pseudomonadati; Bacteroidota; Flavobacteriia; Flavobacteriales. RNAcentral also lists the same sequence under 2 other names.
GCUCGAGUGGUGGAAUCGGUAGACACGCCGGACUUAAAAUCCUGUGCCUGUAUGGGCGUGCGGGUUCAAGUCCCGCCUCGAGUACAA